Brassica rapa (field mustard) is the source of this 539-nucleotide long non-coding RNA. RefSeq lists it as uncharacterized. The record is from RefSeq and is a predicted model, not a curated record. NCBI's taxonomy places the organism in Eukaryota, Viridiplantae, Streptophyta, Magnoliopsida, Brassicales, Brassicaceae.
UGAUUACUGCAUUCAGUGGAAACGCAUUCUUCAAUCGAGUUUAUCUUUGAUGUCAUCUUUGCAUCGUUAUCAUGACAAUAUGAAGUUUGAGACUCUUGGGACUCUUGGAACUCUUGGGACUCUUGUGACUCUUGGAACUCUUGGAACUCUUGGGACUCUUGUGACUCUUGUGUCUUCUCUUCAGGACCCUCGAGCAGAACUUUGGAACUGAAAGAGAAAAAAUAAAUGCAAUGGUAAAGAGACAUGCAAUGAUACUCGUAUUAAAGUGCAUCCUAAUGUAUAGAAGAAAGAGUGUAACCUGACGUAUGCACUUGCAAAAUAUUUGCAUUCUGAUUUCAUCGGACAUGCAUUACAGUUAGGAAUAACCUUCGUACAGAAAACCUGUGGUUUACAAGAUUUAGUCCAGAUGAGUACUGAUAUGUAUUUAGCUGAAAAAUAUCAUAAUGAAAAGGUUUGUUUGUUAGGUGCACCUUUCCAAAUGUUAUCAUCUGAUAAUGUAACUCGUACCUAUAAGAAUAAAAGUACUAAGAUGAUCAGUA